RNAcentral lists this ribosomal RNA (493 nucleotides) under uncultured bacterium. Its description in RNAcentral is "partial 16S ribosomal RNA". It matches the Rfam family "Bacterial small subunit ribosomal RNA", at positions 29 to 523 of the family's 1533-position model. The record is from RNAcentral.
AUUGAACGCUGGCGGCAUGCUUUACACAUGCAAGUCGAACGGUAACAGGUUAAGCUGACGAGUGGCGAACGGGUGAGUAAUGCAUCGGAACGUGCCCGGUCGUGGGGGAUAACGCAGCGAAAGCUGCGCUAAUACCGCAUACGAUCUAAGGAUGAAAGCGGGGGACCGUAAGGCCUCGCGCGAUCGGAGCGGCCGAUGUCAGAUUAGGUAGUUGGUGGGGUAAAGGCUCACCAAGCCAACGAUCCGUAGCUGGUCUGAGAGGACGACCAGCCACACUGGGACUGAGACACGGCCCAGACUCCUACGGGAGGCAGCAGUGGGGAAUUUUGGACAAUGGGCGAAAGCCUGAUCCAGCAAUGCCGCGUGCAGGAAGAAGGCCUUCGGGUUGUAAACUGCUUUUGUACGGAGCGAAAAGGUCUCCUCUAAUACAGGGGGCUCAUGACGGUACCGUAAGAAUAAGCACCGGCUAACUACGUGCCAGCCGCCGCCGCGG